GCCCAGGUGGCGGAAUGGUAUACGCGCUAGCUUGAGGUGCUAGUUCUCGCAAGGGAUUGGAAGUUCGAGUCUUCUCCUGGGCACAA
This 86-nucleotide transfer RNA is filed under the name Candidatus Moranbacteria bacterium CG2_30_41_165. Its description in RNAcentral is "tRNA-Leu". It matches the Rfam family "tRNA". Rfam says of the family: Transfer RNA (tRNA) molecules are approximately 80 nucleotides in length. Their secondary structure includes four short double-helical elements and three loops (D, anti-codon, and T loops). Further hydrogen bonds mediate the characteristic L-shaped molecular structure. tRNAs have two regions of fundamental functional importance: the anti-codon, which is responsible for specific mRNA codon recognition, and the 3' end, to which the tRNAs corresponding amino acid is attached (by aminoacyl-tRNA synthetases). tRNAs cope with the degeneracy of the genetic code in two manners: having more than one tRNA (with a specific anti-codon) for a particular amino acid; and 'wobble' base-pairing, i.e. permitting non-standard base-pairing at the 3rd anti-codon position. The record is from RNAcentral. Lineage: Bacteria; Candidatus Moraniibacteriota. RNAcentral also lists the same sequence under 6 other names.